UAAAACAUUAUUAAUUAGGUAGUAAAGAAAUUUCUGAAACCUAAAGAAUUUGGCGGUGUUUUAAAUAAUUGGAGGAAUCUGUUAAUUAAUUGAUAUACCACAACAAAUCUUUCCUUAUUUUUGCUUGUAUAUCGUCAUUCCAGACAAUAUUUCAAAAUAAUAGUCAUAAUUAAAAGAAUUUCAUAAAUUAGAUCAAGGUGCAGCAUAAUAAGGUUUUUAUGGAUUACAAUAUUUAUAAAAUAUUUACAAAUAGGAAAAACAAAUUUUUUCUUUGAAGGCGGAUUCAAAAGUAAUUUAAAAAUAAAAUGUUUUUUUGAAUAAUAAUUUAAAACAUGC
RNAcentral lists this ribosomal RNA (336 nucleotides) under Diplocentrus bereai. RNAcentral describes it as "partial 12S ribosomal RNA". Lineage: Eukaryota; Metazoa; Arthropoda; Arachnida; Scorpiones; Diplocentridae. The record is from RNAcentral.